RNAcentral lists this long non-coding RNA (355 nucleotides) under Nicotiana benthamiana. RNAcentral describes it as "long non-coding RNA (NBEN_LNC023835)". The record is from RNAcentral. Lineage: Eukaryota; Viridiplantae; Streptophyta; Magnoliopsida; Solanales; Solanaceae.
GUAGUAGAGCCACGUGACACAGUGCUAGGCAAUCCUGAUGUUUACAGAAGACAGGCAGUAGUAGAGCCACGUGAUUAUUACAGACAGGAUGGAUUCCCAGAACGUCGUGAAUAUCAUCAGCCACUGAGUUUGGAAACUAGACUCCGGGAUGAUAUUGGGAUCAAUGAUCCCUACGUGUCAUACCGUGAGCGCGUCGUGGAUAUCAUCAGCCACUGAGUUUGGAAACUAGACUCCGGGAUGAUAUUGGGAUCAAUGAUCCCUAUGUGUCAUACCGUGAGCGUGUAUCAUACCGUGAUCCUGUGAACUCGGCGCGCUCAGAGCCCGAGUAUGACCCCCCUCCUGUGGGUUUGCGAUC